AAGAAUUAAAUGAAUGAAAUAUGAAAUUUUAUUAAAAAAAAGGGGGUGAAAAGAACAAAGCUUUGUCCAUCUUUGUUCAUCAUAGCCUAAAGUUAGAGAAGAGAAAGGAGAGGAGAAAGCUCUUGAAUGUUCGGUCACUUGGGGAAGAAAAAUUGAAGGUAAUCCCCAACCAUAAUGAGCUUGGAGCUGUGAGGGAAUUCGGAGUGGCCACCCGUUCUGAAAGUUUGAUUUUCUUCUGGUGAACUGAACAUCCUUUUAUUUACGUUUGAAGUUUUGGGUUUUUAAAUGUAAUAAGGCCGCUUAAUUAUUUUUGAUGGUUUUAAUAUGUAUUACUAAGAUAA
Molecule: long non-coding RNA, 341 nt
Organism: Gossypium arboreum
Lineage: Eukaryota; Viridiplantae; Streptophyta; Magnoliopsida; Malvales; Malvaceae
Exons: 2
Source: RefSeq, a predicted model, not a curated record